CGGAGAGGGAGCCUGAGAAACGGCUACCACAUCCAAGGAAGGCAGCAGGCGCGCAAAUUACCCACUCCCGGCACGGGGAGGUAGUGACGAGAAAUAACGCUGCGGGGCACUAUGUGCUCUCGCAAGCGCAAUGAGAACGCUUUAAAGCUUCUAUCGAGUACCAACUGGAGGGCAAGUCUGGUGCCAGCAGCCGCGGUAAUUCCAGCUCCAGUAGCGUAUACUAAUGCUGCUGCGGUUAAAACGCUCGUAGUCGAAUUUGGGUUGCCGGCGGGCCUAACACAGUUGUCUAGCGCAUUGUGUUUGGGCUGUAAGCGAGCUGCGCCAUGCGCGUAGUGAGCCGCCGGUGUCUUGUGCGUUAACGCGUGCUUGGCAUCGGUCGCCGGCACCACCUGUCGAUGCGCGCGUCAUUCUCUUAAGUGCGAGUGGCGUGUGUUCGGCAUGUUUACUUUGAAAAAAUUGGAGUGCUCAAAGCAGGCGUACACAUGCUAUACGCAGCCUGAACAGUGGUGCAUGGAAUAAUAGAAUAGGACCUCGCCUCUAUUUUGUUGGCUUUAUCAUUGGAGGCGAGGUAAUGAUCGAUGGGGACCAUCGGAGCCGUACGUACGGCAGCGUUAGAGGUGAAAUUCUUGGAUCGCUGCCAGACGAACGGAGGCGGAGGCUCGCGGCUAGCGGGUUUUCUUCGACCAGAUGAGCGAAAGUCAGAGGUUCGAAGGCGAUCAGAUACCGCCCUAGUUCUGACCGUAAACGAUGCCAACCAGCGAUCUGCCGUUGUUCAUUAUUAAACGACUCGGCAGGCAGCUUCCGGGAAACCAAAGUUUUCGGGUUCCGGGGGAAGUAUGGUUGCAAAGCUGAAACUUAAAGGAAUUGACGGAAGGGCACCACCAGGAGUGGAGCCUGCGGCUUAAUUUGACUCAACACGGGGAAACUCACCCGGGCCGGACACUGUGAGGUAUUGACAGAUUGAUAGCUCUUUCUUGAUUCAGUGGAUGUUGGUGCAUGGCCGUUCUUAGUUGGUGGAGUGAUUUG
RNAcentral lists this ribosomal RNA (1026 nucleotides) under Batillipes mirus. RNAcentral describes it as "bacterial SSU rRNA". It matches the Rfam family "Eukaryotic small subunit ribosomal RNA", at positions 384 to 1313 of the family's 1831-position model. The record is from RNAcentral. Lineage: Eukaryota; Metazoa; Tardigrada; Heterotardigrada; Arthrotardigrada; Batillipedidae.